UACGUAGGGGGCAAGCGUUAUCCGGAUUUACUGGGUGUAAAGGGAGCGUAGACGGCGAUGCAGGCCAGAUGUGAAAGCCCGGGGCUCAACCCCGGGACUGCAUUUGGAACUGUGUGGCUGGAGUGUCGGAGAGGCAGGCGGAAUUCCUAGGGUGGCGGUGAAAUGCGUAGAUAUUAGGAGGAACACCAGUGGCGAAGGCGGCCUGCUGGACGAUGACUGACGUUGAGGCUCGAAAGCGUGGGGAGCAAACAGG
This 253-nucleotide ribosomal RNA is filed under the name uncultured bacterium. RNAcentral describes it as "partial 16S ribosomal RNA". It matches the Rfam family "Bacterial small subunit ribosomal RNA", at positions 524 to 776 of the family's 1533-position model. The record is from RNAcentral.